Carya illinoinensis is the source of this 884-nucleotide long non-coding RNA. RefSeq lists it as uncharacterized. The transcript has 2 exons. NCBI's taxonomy places the organism in Eukaryota, Viridiplantae, Streptophyta, Magnoliopsida, Fagales, Juglandaceae. The record is from RefSeq and is a predicted model, not a curated record.
AUUCCCCCCUCCCCGCAUUCUUCCUCACUUCUUCCUUUCCCCGCGUUCUCUCCUCCACUACCCCAGCUCGUAUCCUUUCGUCGGCCUCACCCUCUGGCCGCCCCGUGUGGCUCCAUCACUCCAGAACCAUGUGGCUCCAUGACUUCGGCACCGUGUAAGAAAAGAUCAUCUAAGGGUUAACUAUUUCCGUACAGCUUCUCCAGCUUCACCAUUUCCGCACGGCUUCAAUCCUCUAUUGGUAUUGUAGCUGUUGAGACCCACCGUCUGUCGUCUUACAAGGCAUGUAAGGAAGGAAAAACUGCCAACAUAUAUGCACAUAUGGGACAUUCUUCAAGAAUUUCUAUUUAGCUAUUUUAAACGAUUUGAAAGAUUGGCGUAUUUUGUAUUGAUUUUUAUCUAUUAAUUUGUGAUGUGUCAAUUUUGUAGGCUCGACAUUCUUGCAAAUUUUUUUGUUUGUAUGACUUGAAAAUACCAAAAUAUGGUGAUAAGACAAUCAAACGACUACAACAGUCACUUGAUAGAUUAAAAAAUGAAAUUGAAAGAUACAAUUAGCAAUGGACAUUCAAACCACUUGACAUCGACUAUAAAUAAAGGUGGAGAGGCGUAAGAGAAAAUUGGAGAAGACUACUUAUGUUCUUCCAAUUUCAAUGUCAUGUUUAAUGUUUUUGGGAUUAAUUAUAUCCACUUGUUGGUUCAAAGAAAAAUGUUAGUCAUUUGAUGUUGUAAUAGAAUUAUUGAUGCAGCUGGAAACUCUGUAUGUAGAAGUUCACAUAUUAGCGAUGUAUUGUGAACUAUUAAAUGUGCAUGUUGAAGUUAUAAUUUAAUCCAGUUGUUGAAAGAAUGUAUUGAGGUCUCUAGUAAAUGUGCGUACAAAUUGCAUCCAA